RNAcentral lists this ribosomal RNA (460 nucleotides) under uncultured bacterium. RNAcentral describes it as "partial 16S ribosomal RNA". It matches the Rfam family "Bacterial small subunit ribosomal RNA", at positions 338 to 795 of the family's 1533-position model. The record is from RNAcentral.
CCUACGGGUGGCAGCAGUGAGGAAUAUUGGUCAAUGGACGAAAGGCUGAACCAGCCAAGCCGCGUGAAGGAAGAAGGCGCUAUGGGUGGUAAACUGCUUUUAUAGGGGAAUAAAGGUAGCCACGUGUGGAGACUUGCAUGUACCCUAUGAAUAAGCAUCGGCUAACUCCGUGCCAGCAGCCGCGGUAAUACGGAGGAUGCGAGCGUUAUCCGGAUUUAUUGGGGUUAAAGGGUGCGUAGGUGGUUUUUUAAGUCAGAGGUGAAAGUUUGUUGCUCAACCAUAAAAUUGCCGUUGAAACUGUUAGACUUGAGUGUAUUUGCGGUAGGCGGAAUGCGUGGUGUAGCGGUGAAAUGCUUAGAUAUCACUCAGAACUCCGAUUGCGAAGGCAGCUUACUAAGCUAUAUCUGCCACUGAGGCACGAAAGCGUGGGUAUCAAACAGGAUUAGAUACCCUAGUAGUC